This is a long non-coding RNA of Anopheles arabiensis, 314 nucleotides long. RefSeq lists it as uncharacterized. NCBI's taxonomy places the organism in Eukaryota, Metazoa, Arthropoda, Insecta, Diptera, Culicidae. The transcript is spliced from 2 exons. The record is from RefSeq and is a predicted model, not a curated record.
GGGGAACUGCAGAGACGCGCGCGCGACAAACGAGACGGUAUCUAUCGGUCCGCACGGGUGUGUUUGUAUGUCUCUGUACGCGCACGUAUGUGUGUACCGAAAACGAAAGAUGUCAAGCCAAUCGGUCAAUACAGGUGGAACCCAAGAUACGCGGUACUUUUGGAUAUACGCAGUGUUCUACAUUUCACAGGUCCUGGAGCAAAUUAAACUGGUUUGACACAUCAGUUGUCAAAUGCACAAUAAAUUCACUUUUGUGUAUGAAGUCUUUAAAUCAGUUAUAAAAUGGUGGCUAAAAUGCACCACGUGAAGCAAUA